CCUACGGGAGGCAGCAGUGAGGAAUAUUGGUCAAUGGGCGGGAGCCUGAACCAGCCAAGUCGCGUGAGGGAAGACGGUCCUAUGGAUUGUAAACCUCUUUAGGCGGGGAGCAAUGCCGGGCACGCGUGCCCGGAGGGAGAGUACCCGAAGAAUCAGCAUCCGCUAACUCCGUGCCAGCAGCGGCGGUAAUACGGAGGAUGCGAUCGUGAUCCGGAUUGAUUGGGUUUAAAGGGUGCGUAGGCGGAUUUUUAAGUGAGCGGUAAAAUGUCCGGGCUCAACCCGGGCCGGCCGUUGAAACUGGGGAUCUUGAGUGGGCGAGAAGUAUGCGGAAUGCGUGGUGUAGCGGUGAAAUGCAUAGAUAUCACGCAGAACUCCGAUUGCGAAGGCAGCAUACCGGCGCCCGACUGACGCUGAGGCACGAAAGCGUGGGGAUCGAACAGGAUUAGAUACCCCAGUAGUC
RNAcentral lists this ribosomal RNA (460 nucleotides) under uncultured bacterium. RNAcentral describes it as "partial 16S ribosomal RNA". It matches the Rfam family "Bacterial small subunit ribosomal RNA", at positions 338 to 795 of the family's 1533-position model. The record is from RNAcentral.